This 470-nucleotide ribosomal RNA is filed under the name cf. Hesionidae sp. DH-2009. RNAcentral describes it as "partial 16S ribosomal RNA". It matches the Rfam family "Bacterial large subunit ribosomal RNA", at positions 1903 to 2597 of the family's 2925-position model. Lineage: Eukaryota; Metazoa; Annelida; Polychaeta; Phyllodocida; Hesionidae. The record is from RNAcentral.
AACUAUGGGUUUAAACGGGCCGCGGUAUACCUGACCGGGCAAAGGUAGCAUAAUCACUCGCCUUUUAAUUGUAGGCUUGUAUGAAUGGAUAAACGAGAGUACCAGCUGCUCUCAUAUAAAUAAAUAAAAACUACUCUUCAGGUGAAGAAGCCUGAUUAAAAUUAAAAGACAAGAAGACCCUAUAGAGUUUUACUUCAAUAACACAUAUUUACAAAUAAUAAUGUUUAAAUAAAUGUUAAAUAGUUUAGUUGGGGCGACUUAGGAAUAUAAAAACCUUCCUUAAAUAAAAGAAAUAAAAUCAAAUUAAUGAUCCUUAUAAGAUCAAAAGAAUAAUAUUACCUUAGGGAUAACAGGCUAAUCUCCCCAGAGAGCCCAAAUUGACGGGGAGGGUUGGCACCUCGAUGUUGGCUUAAGACAACUUUUAAAUGCAGCAGUUUAAAUAAGUUGGUUUGUUCAACCAUUAAAGUCUU